Molecule: long non-coding RNA, 716 nt
Filed under: Canis lupus familiaris (dog)
Lineage: Eukaryota; Metazoa; Chordata; Mammalia; Carnivora; Canidae
Description: lncRNA (ENSCAFG00000053322.1)
Source: RNAcentral
GUCUUGAAUUCUUAAUUUAUUUCCAUUUUGUUUAUUGAGUAGAUUUUUCAACUUAAAUUCAUGUUUGCAAGGUACAUAUACAUUUAACAUGAUAAAAAUAUUCAAAUAGUGCAAAGGUGCAUAUCCUUGGAGUACUUCUUCCUUCUACUCUGUUCUCUCUUGGCUGCCUACUUCCUCUCUUUGGAGGAAACCAAUUACCAAGGUCUUGUGCAUCUCUCCACAGACAGUUAUGCAAGUAUACAAAUAUGUCUACGUACAUUUAUCUUGGACACAGAGAUGUAGGACCAGAUCCCUUUUCAUGAAAGGACUUGUUGCUCCAGCUUCUAUGAGUGCUGUCCAUAGACACAGUCUUUAGCUGUCAGCCCCAUUCAGAGAUCAUCUCUGCUAUAGAGCUGCUUACCCAAGGCCAUGAUCUUCCCAGGGCAGCCCACAUCUAAUGACUCAAAGAGAAGGCUAUUUCAGCCUGACACUGGCCAUUUGUGAUGGAAAAAUUUAAUUCCAGAAUUCUUUCUUCACAGGGUGACUUAUCCCUCUGUUCAACACUGCUUCUGCACCCCCACCUGCCACAGGUCCCCCUGGUGCCAGAUGUCACCUAUCACACCCCUGGGGACUGGCUGAAAGAUCUUAUCUUUGAACGAAGAGCAGGCAAAGCAUUUAAAGGACCAACGUGUUCUGUUCUGCAGCCCUGGAACUCACAAUUCAUGACUUGCAGGUAG